AAUGCUUGCUAUGCUGGUUGCUAGGGUUAAAGCCAAACCAUGUGUACAGGUCAUGUACAUGGUCUACUGUGGAUCUACAAUGAUCUGUUUGACAUGGAUUGGCUUUUUUACUAUGCGAUAAAUUUACGAUGACGCGAUUUCUAAACAUUUCGUGUGUGGGUUGCAUUUUUAGACUUGUUUCUAAAAGUGUGCUUAUUUGGGCUUGCUCAAAUUUCUUCUGUCCACUAUUAGCGGUCUAAUAAAUCACAGAAACGGCAUAGUUAUGCCUUAUUGCUGGAUCUAGAACCCUUGUUUCUUACACCCCUCCUUUGCCCAAAACUGCACAGACUUUUUCUUUAGCAAGUUCGAAAUAAAGGUCCAACUGGGCGAAAUAUAGGAGCCCAUAUAUAGCCUAACGUUACAGUGGUAGAAAGCCCUAGGUCUGGUAGCCAUAACACUGCCUGUACACGCAUCUUUACAUGUUAGCCGAAAGUUACACCACCAUAACCUGCUAGUGGCCCCGUGUUUAAUUAUUGCUUGAAUCGAUUGCUGAAUUCAAGAGUAGUGAUGAUGAUGAUGAUGGGGAUUGCAUGCUUUCAAGUGUUGGUCAGGAUGUAGAUUGGAUGGAUGUAUAUUGUUGUGAAUUGAGAGCAGUCAGCUCAUGGUGUAAUAGCCUUCAUCUCUGAGACACAUUGUAGCUUUUUCAAUCUUGGCGAAAUUUGUAGUACAGAAGUUGUGUGUGUAUAUAUGGUCAAUUGUAGCCUACUGGGAAUUAAAUCAAAAUAUUAGCAGAAGACAUAGCCACACUAUGGUAGGCCAGGCCUUUUUUCCUUUCAUAGCUCCUCUCUCUGAGUUUGAUGUCACGUCAUGUCACAUUGUCAACAUGGUAGGCUACAUGGAUAGAUGAAGCAGAACAUAGGGGGUCAUAUGUCUAAUGCUUUUUGAAAAGGCUUUCUUCUUCAUAAAACGUGUAGGACAUCAUCACAUUUUUGUAUACAUUUUUAUUCAUUUACAUUAAGCUACAGGACUGCGAAAGAGAAAAAAAAUGAAUGCGUCAUUGUACUCAGCACUUCUGAAAUUGCACUUUCGAUUGCGUCUCUGUCCCCAGCACAUUUCAAACCAACCUGACGCCCAUGCAUAACCAUGUUAAACUAAAUAACAGCUGUCAAAGUAGCCUAGUAGGCUAAAUUGCUCCAAAGCCCAGUGUGUGUGGCGAUGUCAAAUGAGGCGCUGAUCCUUCAAAACUGAAGCGGCAUCUGGAGACAGACACCCAACUCUGGCUGAUCUGGAAUGCCUAAAGCAGGAUGGAUCCAUUAAGAUAUCUGAGACGUCUUGUCCCAGCUUCCAUUCUCUGGUGGCCACUUUGCUCUCAGGAACUAAACUGGACCCUAUCUGUUAGAUUUGACGGCUCUGAAGGACAGGCAGGCAGGCUGUGAAAAUAUGCCUGAAUGGAGGUCCCGGUGGCGACUCAUCCUGCUGAAUUCUAUGACCUGUGGCUUAGAGAUCUGUGUAGCAGCUGGGAUCACCUAUGUGCCACCACUGCUGCUGGAGGCAGGGGUGGCGGAGCAGUACAUGACUAUGGUUUUAGGUAUUGGACCAGUCCUUGGACUACUAUUCAUCCCACUGAUUGGUUCUGCAAGUGAUCAUUGCAACAGCAGUUAUGGCCGUCGAUGGCCUUUCAUCUGGCUGCUGUCACUGGGUGUGCUGCUUGCCUUGAUCAUUAUCCCACAUGCAGAUGCUGUGGCCGCAUACUUCUGGGGAGGUCAGAUGCUUCAUGUCGGCCUGCUUAUCCUUGGUGUGGGCCUGCUAGAUUUCUGUGGCCAACUGUGCUUCACUCCUCUUGAGGCCCUGCUGUCUGAUCUGUACCAUGACCAGGGGGACUAUAACCAGGCGUUUGCCAUGUUCUCUUUCAUGGUUAGUCUGGGAGGCUGUAUUGGGUAUUUGCUCCCUGCUCUGGAUUGGAGUGGAAGUCUGCUGUCAAUUUACCUUGGGGGGCAGGCCGAGUGCCUUUUCUCACUGCUCAUUCUCAUCUUUGUGUCGAGUGUCCUGGUCACUAUGAAGGUAUCAGGGGAACCGUCGCAUCCGUCUGCAUCUCUGGAGCCAAAUUCCCUACAGACCAGUCGUUGGAUGCCCUGUUCAUGUUGUUACCUGCUCAGAUGCAAGUUCAGGUUGCUGAAGUCUGGUGCCCUGCUGUGCCUACUGCAGACAUGCUGGUCCAUGACACCUGCCAUCUACCGUAGCUAUUGUCAUGUACCACGUGUGAUGCGACAGCUUUGCGUAGCACAGCUUUGCAGCUGGAUUGCGGUUAUGUCAUUCAUGCUGUUCUACACAGACUUUGUUGGAGAAGGGUUGUAUGAAGGUGUUCCCAAUGCUGCUCCAGGGACAACGCUGAGACAACAUUAUGAUGAAGGCAUUCGGAUGGGCAGUUUGGGCCUCUUUCUGCAAUGUGCUACCUCAACUUUCUUCUCCUUACUCAUGAGUCGUUUGGUGUGUCUCUUUGGCUCAAGGAUGGUCUACCUUAGCAGUAUGGUGUGCUUCACCAUCUCUGCUCUUGUCAUUUGCUUGUCCAAGAAUGUGGUCUUGGUUACUACCAUGUCUGCUCUGACAGGAUUUGCCUAUGCUACCCUGCAGACUCUUCCCUACACCCUCACUUGCCAGUAUCAUAAAGAUAAAGAGGUUUUCAUGCCAAAAGGAAAACUCAAAAACUUAAACAAGAAUGAUAUCACCAUCACCAAGGAAUCUGUGCAUUUGAAGAUUGAUGAUCAUGGUGAGGUCUUGAACCAUAAACCUGGCUCUGUCAAUGGGCACUCAUAUUUCAGCAGGGAUAUUUCAGAAUACUACACUCCACAGCACUACCAGAUUGGCUUUCCAUCUGAUUCCAUAGAGCAAGAUCAUGAUAAGCGUGGUGUUGGUCUGGAUUUUGCCAUUCUGGAUAGCACCUUUCUGUUGUCUCAAGUCUUUCCAACUCUCUUCAUGGGCAUGAUUGUGCAAUUUACAAAAUCUGUUACAGCUUACAUUGCCUGUUCUGCAAUUUUUGGUGCCAUUGCAAUUUGCCUGGCAAACCAUGUAAUUUUUGACCAAAAAGACUUGUGAUGCUGCCUACCUAGGCAUAUCAGUACUAAUUACAUUUUUAAUGGUGUACAUUAUUAUGUGAGUGUGAGUUGCUAUCAAAAGUGUUCAGCUAAUUUCACCUUACAGACACUCUAUGUGAGUAAACAAUUGAAUACUCUCAUGUAGUUAUUUGGAUUAAUUGAUAAAGUUGAGUUUAGUAAUAGUUUAAAUGGGAAAUCAGAUUCUGCCCCAAAAUGGCCUUCGGUUUUGAAGAAUUUAUGGAACCUGACAUAUGGUUAAGAGAACACCCCCCAAAAGGGCAGACUCCCCUCCAUUCUUGGUUGGUAAUGGUAUUUUUCUUGUAGGCCUUGCUUAUAUUUUGACAGGCAUUAUUGUGCUAUGAUCCAUGGGGUCCUGCCACUCCAUAAAAUUACUUCCUAGGACUGAUUAGUACUCUAGUAAGUACUUUUUCCUCCCUCUCGUCAUCAUUAGGCUGUAUAUUUACAAGGUUGUAUAAGGAUUACAGAGAUACAAGGAAAUUGAAUCAAAUGCCAGGGAUAUUCCAAAAAGCAGUUGUAACAUAUAUUCUGAGAGUAACUCAGGUCUUUCUGAACUCAGAUCAGCUGUCCAGGGGCCUGUACUACGAAGGGAGCUUAACCUACCCAGAUGUAACCCAGGGUUACUUUGUUAAACCGGGUUUGACAAAACCUGGUUAUCAUAAGUGGUGUUAAUCGGUAC
Alosa sapidissima (American shad) is the source of this 3768-nucleotide RNA transcript. It is a transcript of the gene named solute carrier family 45 member 3, with no coding region annotated. The record is from RefSeq and is a predicted model, not a curated record. The transcript is spliced from 6 exons. Lineage: Eukaryota; Metazoa; Chordata; Actinopteri; Clupeiformes; Clupeidae.